This 495-nucleotide ribosomal RNA is filed under the name uncultured bacterium. RNAcentral describes it as "partial 16S ribosomal RNA". It matches the Rfam family "Bacterial small subunit ribosomal RNA", at positions 28 to 507 of the family's 1533-position model. The record is from RNAcentral.
GACGAACGCUGGCGGCGUGCCUAAUACAUGCCAGUAGAACGCUGAAGGAGGAGCUUGCUCUUCUGGAUGAGUUGCGAACGGGUGAGUAACGCGUAGGUAACCUGCCUGGUAGCGGGGGAUAACUAUUGGAAACGAUAGCUAAUACCGCAUAACAGUAGAUGUUGCAUGACAUUUGCUUAAAAGGUGCAAUUGCAUCACUACCAGAUGGACCUGCGUUGUAUUAGCUAGUUGGUGGGGUAACGGCUCACCAAGGCGACGAUACAUAGCCGACCUGAGAGGGUGAUCGGCCACACUGGGACUGAGACACGGCCCAGACUCCUACGGGAGGCAGCAGUAGGGAAUCUUGGGCAAUGGACGGAAGUCUGACCGAGCAACGCCGCGUGAGUGAAGAAGGUUUUCGGAUCGUAAAGCUCGGUUGUAAGGGAAGAACGAGUGUGAGAGUGGAAAGUUCACACUGUGACGGUAUCUUACCAGAAAGGGACGGCUAACUACGUG